This is an RNA transcript of Aedes albopictus (Asian tiger mosquito), 2859 nucleotides long. RefSeq lists it as uncharacterized. The transcript is spliced from 5 exons. The record is from RefSeq and is a predicted model, not a curated record. Lineage: Eukaryota; Metazoa; Arthropoda; Insecta; Diptera; Culicidae.
AAGCGUGUCAGUCAAUCAAGAUCACGGUUUGAUCAGAUUUUCGGUUUUCACGAUCACGGCGUCGUCGUUGCUUCGAUCGUUGACUUGAUCGCGUGCUGGUAAACAAGACGGUCUACCGCGUGUUUAUAGUUCGAUAGCGCAAACUCGUUGAACUUCUCCGAAAAACAUGACUAGGGAUGUUGUCAGGAAAGCUGGAUACUUUCAAGAUGGCGACCGUAGCGCUAUCUACGUUGAUUUCCGCUGCACGAGCAUGGCGUCAGGAUAUGUUGAUGGUCUAAUUUUAGUGGCGAUCCGAUCCACAUUUGAAUAUUGUGAGUCGAAGUGUUCGGACGUGAUUUGUUUGAUUAGAGAGAAGGACUAAAUCGCAGUUUAAAAUGCAGAUGAUGAUUGAGAGUUAUUUCAAUUUGCACUAUUACGGCUAUGGAAAAGAGGAAUAUUAUUCUGAUUUUGAUGAUAGCGAUACGGAAAGUGAACCGGAAGAAGAGAAACCUCCUGAACCAGAGAUGGCGGAUCGUGAGUUUCCAUUCGAUGAUGACGUAUUCUACAUCAAUCUCAAAGCACCAAGAGUCAGAACAGGGUGGGAUAAUCUUCCAAUGGAGAUCCUGAUCCGAAUCUUCACCUUCAUCAGACCGAGCGAUCGAAAUUCAGCAGCUCUCACGUGCCAUCGCUGGUUUGAAGCUCUGCGCCAUCCGUACUUCCUCAAUGCUACUUGUUUCCACUUUGAACAUAUAGAAGUAUCCGACAACAAAUCUCCAAUCAAAAUCUUUUUGGACAGCUUUCGCCACUUCACCAACAUCAAACUAACCCGAGUGCAGUUCAGCGGCGAAACUGGAUUUUGGAGCUACUUUGGAGAGCACAUCCGAGAGAUAACGUUCGACAACUGCGCACUUACCAAACCGAAACUGUCGAACAUCCUGGGCAGUAUGCCAAAUUUAGAACGUCUAAACAUAGUCGAUUGCGACGAGUUAUUCAAAAGUUGGAACCCAGUUAUCUUUCAGAACAUAUCACCGAUCUGCAAGCGCCUCAAGCAUCUCGGACUUCGAAAGAUCAGCGCCCUAAACGAAGAUCACCUCAACUAUUUAGUAGCAAUGGCUCCUCGAAUGUCCUCGUUAGAAAUAUCCAAAUGCCUCAGAGACAUGGAUGCUGGUCAAAGAGUCACGAUUCUUUCCCACAUUCUGCGCAUCCUCAAUUUCUACAAGCAUCAAAUGCGAUCCGUCAACUUCAGCUACACCAUGUACGAUGAUCUGUUCUUGAAGCAGUUUGCCGAAAUCGAGAGCAUGUCACUGAGCAACAUUAGCCUGUCGUUCUUCCAACGUGCCCCUAUCAAAGACCCUGCCAUCAUCGACAUCCUUCGGAAACACACCAACCUGGUUCACCUAGAUCUUACAUCUUUUCUCAAUCUCACCGAUUUUGCUCUGAUCGAGAUCGCCGAAUCGAUGCCACUCCUGAAAACCCUAAAGCUCAACGGAUGCUGGCUCUUAACCGAUUUUGGAAUAUCGGCCAUCGGAAAACUUCGGAAUCUCGCCAUUUUGGAUCUGUCGGAUUGCGAUCGCGUUACGGAUAAUGGUUUUCUGCAGGCCAUCCUAGGCAAAGAUCGGGUCAGCAUGAAAGAGCUCUAUCUCAGCAUGCUGCCGGGGAUCACGGAGAAUGUGAUCCUGAAGAUUUGCUUCACGUUGGCCAACCUGACGGUGCUGGAUUUUUGCGGUUCGGAUUGCAUCAACGACACUUCGCUGCAGUUUGUGUUUUGCUAUUUGCGGCUGGUGCGGGUGCUACGGCUGAAUGGAUGUGUGAAGAUUACAGAUGCUGGGCUGACCGGAGUGGACCUUCAGCGUGCUGCCAUCGAAAUAUGGGACGAGCAGCAAACUUUCUCGAUCGACAUGCUUCGAGGACUUCAAGAGCUACAGAUAUCUGGCUGUUUCAAAGUUACUGACCUCAGUCUAACACGUUGCUUCAAGCUAAUUGAGCUUCGCGAAGUCAAUCUGUCCCAUUGCGUCAAUAUUUCAGACGAAGGUAUAAUUGCCAUGGCCAUGAACUGCCCCUCGCUGGAAGUGGUGGAUCUGAGCGACUGUUUUCGCAUCUGCGAUCCUUCCAUUGACGCACUGACCAAGCACUUGCUACGUCUGAACUCCAUGAAACUCGUACGGCUGCCCCAACUGACCACGGAGAGUAUCUACUCGAUACUUGCCCACUGCAAAAGGCUGAGGACGAUCAAUUUGCGGGGAUGUUGCAAAAUACCAAGAAGUGCAAUCGAUUUGCUGGCCAAGAUGAAGUGUCUUCGCAAUACGCCCAAGUAUUAGAUUAACUAUCAUUGCCCGUUCGUACUUGUUUCGUAGGUGUUCGUCAAUUGUUUGUUCAUUGCCAGUCGAUGUUGUUCAUGUGUCCUUCGUUUUCUACUUGAAGCGAGCAUUUUACGUUGGAGUGAAUUAUGCAGCAUCGAUUACCUUAAUGUGAUUAAAUGUAAAAUUUCUCCUCAGUAUCUCGACUGCCGUUUUUAAUCUGACAUAAUAAUGGCACGUUGAUUGAUAAAGAAUUGUGUAUUAUAAGCACUUAUCACAUACUUUGUGUAAGUAUCAGAUCAUUGUUUUGAUUAGAAUUAUCCGAAUUUUCCAUUAGGUUAUGGGCCCAUAUUCGAAACAACUUUAUUUUCAAAGGAAAUUCGAGGUUCAUUGAGUCACAGGAUGCACUUUGAUAAUUAGUUCGACUAUGGUUAACAGUUCUUCAAAUUAUUAUUACUCAGAAGAAGAACGAUCGGAAAUCAGUAGAGUGAAAAGAGCAAAUAUCGUAAAGAAAUCAACCUAGUGCAAUUUCUGACAAAAAGAACACAGUUGAAAUGCUAAUAAGUAUCACCAAUUAAUUGAU